UGUAGUAAUACAAGGCAGACGGCUCAGUAACGCGUAGUCAACCUACCCUAUGGACGGGGAUAACCUCGGGAAACUGAGAAUAAUACCCGAUAGAACAUUAUGCCUGGAAUGGUUUAUGUUUCAAAUAAUUUAUUGCCGUAGGAUGGGACUGCGGCCUAUCAGUUUGUUGGUGAGGUAAUGGCCCACCAAGACUAUUACAGGUACGGGCUCUGAGAGGAGUAGCCCGGAGAUGGGUACUGAGACACGGACCCAGGCCCUAUGGGGCGCAGCAGGCGAGAAAACUUUGCAAUGUGCGAAAGCACGACAAGGUUAAUCCGAGUGGUUUCUGCUAAAGGAACCUUUUGUCAGUCCUAGAAACACUGAUGAAUAAGGGGUGGGCAAGUUCUGGUGUCAGCCGCCGCGGUAAAACCAGCACCUCAAGUGGUCAGGAUGAUUAUUGGGCCUAAAGCAUCCGUAGCCUGCUUUGUUAGUUCUCGGUUAAAUCCAUACGCUCAACGUAUGGGCUGCCGGGAAUACUGCAAAGCUAGGGAGUGGGAGAGGUAGACGGUACUCGGUAGGAAGGGGUAAAAUCCUUUGAUCUAUUGAUGACCACCUGUGGCGAAGGCGGUCUACCAGAACACGUCCGACGGUGAGGGAUGAAAGCUGGGGGAGCAAACCGGAUUAGAUACCCGGGUAGUCCCAGCUGUAAACUAUGCAAACUCAGUGAUGCAUUGGCUUGAUGCCAAUGCAGUGCUGCAGGGAAGCCGUUAAGUUUGCCGCCUGGGAAGUACGUACGCAAGUAUGAAACUUAAAGGAAUUGGCGGGGGAGCACCACAA
This 816-nucleotide ribosomal RNA is filed under the name uncultured archaeon. RNAcentral describes it as "bacterial SSU rRNA". It matches the Rfam family "Archaeal small subunit ribosomal RNA", at positions 63 to 884 of the family's 1478-position model. The record is from RNAcentral.